Molecule: long non-coding RNA, 1781 nt
Organism: Perca flavescens (yellow perch)
Lineage: Eukaryota; Metazoa; Chordata; Actinopteri; Perciformes; Percidae
Exons: 3
Source: RefSeq, a predicted model, not a curated record
AGAGAGGAAGAGGAGGCUGCAGUUACCCCUGGACCAUAUGAAUCUUCUUGGUGGAACUGAUAUUGGAGCUGUACCUCUGGUAAACAAUGAAAGCCACCAGAGUAAGACAGAUGACUCCAACAAUGCCUGCUACGACUGAAACAGCCAGCAUGGUACUGUUCAAAUGAGUCUGCUGAGCACCUGGGAAGGAAAGAGACACCAAGGAUUAGAGCAUAUAGAGCAAUGUACAAUUUCUAUACUGAUAAGAAUGAAGGCAACGUAUUAAUGUACAACAUUUAUGUAUCUAACUGUCAAGCCAAUUGGUUUCCCAAUGUCUAAAGCUCUUGUCAUCUGUUUUGUUUGAUAAAAAUACAGGAAUGCAGGAAAUGAAUUAAUGUUGGCAGUGUAUGCAUACCUCCAGAUGCCACCAGAUACCCUGUGAGUGGAAAAGAGAAACCCUCAAUACAUCAGUGACCAAAAGAAACCCACAAUCAACACAUGCAGUCUGAAAUGUGACAGACUGUUAACUCACCCAACAAAGAGAUCAUAAUAUGUGGUGGUGACGUCGAAAAGCGAGGUAGAGGCGUAACAUCGGUCCAGGAGCACGUUGAAUCUGCAAGGAGGCGUUUCGGUAUCAGCACAGAUCAAUACAGCUUGUCAUAUUUUCCCAUAUUCUAGGUGAGAUCUAUUUGAACCUUUGCUAUGGAUGUUGGCACAGGUACAGUUUGGGGAAAAAUACUUAUCUAGAAUUUUAUUAAUUUAUCAAAUUUUUUAAUGAGGUAAGACAGUGUAGAUCCCUGGGUUAACAUGCACACAUAACAGAGCACCAAUUUUUUACCAGAUAUUUAGGAUUGAAAUGUGUGUUCUUUAUUGAGCAAAUUCUUUUUUUACCAAAAAUAUACAAUCAGUAUACUUCAGUUGCUAAAUCUCGUUUUUGCUAAAGUUUGGGUUCAACAUUUCCUCCAUUCUAUUGAAUAUUUCUGCAACAAUUUUGUUCCUUUUAUGCAUCAAAGUAUGGUGCAAAUGUCUUUCUUUAUGUAAAGGAAAUUAUUAUUAGAUAUUUGAGGAGGUUGCACUGGCCAGUUGUGAUUAUUGGGCCACCUAUGGAAGUACCUGUUAGUGAGGUUGGACGCUUUGACUUCUACAUAGAUCCUGGUCUUUAGAUCCAAGCCUCCUGGAGGGAUCUGCAAAAUGGAGGAGUAGCCAUGGUCCUUCAGGCCCAAUAACAGAAGAGACGGAAGGAUGUUGUUUAAAGUGAUUGAUGUGUUGGUGAUUUUGACAGAAUGCUUUGAGUUCAUCAUCAGUUUAGAACUGCCCAUCCCUCCACACAAGGGAAGGGCCACAGGAGGGGUACUGCUGCUAAAUUUGUUGUCUGGACUACACGAUGCAGAGCCAAAAUAUUAGCAUUACUAUAGAACGGCACUUUCAUCAUUAACCACUAUAUAGAUGGAAUAUAGCAAUUAGCAAAGGUCCCAGUUUUAAUCCAGCAAGUCAUCAUUCAUAUUGAAAGAACCUCAAGCCUGAUUCUUUAUAUCUGUAAAUAAAUUAGAAAUUAUAAAAUUUCAAAUUUCUAUAUAAAAGAAAAUGAUAGAGAUACACAAUCAUUUUAUGAUGAAUCAAGGUUAGUUUAAAGUGACUUAGAAAUGUUCAGAAUUUACUUAAAGCUGAAAGAAAGAUCGACUCCAAAGACAAGAAAGUCACGAUGCCCAGAAAAAGUCCAGCACAUAAGUCCAUGUUUAACUAGAAAUGGUCAUUUUUACACUUCAAUUUCUGUACGGAUUAAACAAAUGAGAUAUUAUGUG